Molecule: long non-coding RNA, 4646 nt
Filed under: Canis lupus familiaris (dog)
Lineage: Eukaryota; Metazoa; Chordata; Mammalia; Carnivora; Canidae
Description: lncRNA (ENSCAFG00845008782.1)
Source: RNAcentral
UUCAACAAAUUAUUUUGAGAAAAAUAGGACAAAUGCAUGCAAAAGAUGAAACCGGACCAUUUCCUUACAUCAUACACACACACACACACACACACACACACACACCUCAAAAAAGAUCAAAGAGGCAAAUGUGAGAUCUGAAACUAUAAAACUCCUGGAAGAAAACAUAGGUAGUAAUUUCUUUGACAUUGGAAGUAGAAACGCUUUUCUAGCUAUGUCUCCUGAGGCAAGAGAAACAAAAGUAAAAUUAAACUACUGGGACCAUGCCAAAAUAAAAAGCUUUUGCACAGCAAAGGAAAAUAUCAACACAAAAGGGCAACCUAUGGAAUGGGAAAAAUGACAUAUCUGAUAAAGAGGUUAAAAUCCAAAAUAUAUAAAGGACUUAAGCAACUCAACAGAACCCCCCCCAAAAAAAUACAUGACUUUUUUAAAUUUAUUUUAUUUUUUAAAGAUAUUUAUUUAUUCAUGAUAGACAGAGAGAGAGAGAAGCAGAGACACAGGCAGAGGGGGAAGCAGGCUCCAGGCCGGGAGCCCGACGCGGGACUCGAUCCUGGGACUCCAGGAUCGCGCCCUGGGCCAAAGGCAGGCACCAAACCGCUGAGCCACCCAGGGAUCCCCUACAUGACUUUUUAAUAAAAAAAAAUUUAACAAGCAUUUGAUAAGUUGUAUUCAUGAUGGAAAAUAUCCUAACAAAUGAGGAAUAGAAAGAAGCAUCAUUGAUCUUAUAAAUUGUAGCUGUAUGUUGAAUCAUAUGAACUUGCCAUUUUUGUAUAUCUAAUCCCUAAAACAAAUAUCAUAUUUAUAGUAAAUUAUUUUAAAAUAAAACAAGAAAAGUUUGCCUAUUUUGACUGCUGCUAUUGAAUAUCGUAUCAGUGUCUAAGACAAGAAAAAGAAAUACAUUACAUAUGAAUUUUGGGAAGAGGUACAUAAGGCGGACCUACAAGCAGCAAGACUGAAAAUAGAACCAGAAUUCAUACAAAAAGUUUUAGAAUUAAUGCAGUUUUGUUGUAAACACACGCUCUCACACUUCCUUGUCGAACAUAGAUCCUGCGUAAUAGACACUCAAUAUGAGUUUGCUGGGUUGUUAUGUAGGGUCAUCUCCAAGAGGGCACUUGUGUCAUUACUGGGAAGGCAGCAUAUGGUCCAUGACUCAGGAUGGCUAACGUCCAAGUGGCCACGGAUGUAUCAAAUUCAGGCUAUCAGUCCUCCAUCUCCACCCUCUGAAAUGUGGGAAAUUUCAUGCUGCUGGUAUGAUGAGGGAUGUCAAGCAGUUGGGGACUAAAUGGUAUAUAAGCCGUUAUGGGGGAGAGCCUUCACUCUGCAAGCACCCACUUGCAAGGGUGCUUGUCUGUCCUCCCUGCAGGAUUAUGAAUUUUGAGGACAAGAUCUGUUCAUUUGGCUAUCCCCGGAAUCUGGUGAAGCCUUGGCUUUAUAAAAGGGAGUUGUUCAAAAAUAAAUAAAUAAAAGGGAGUUGCAAAUGUUUAUGAUUAUUGAACAGUUGUAAGUUAUUUAUCUUACUUCUGAAAUGGAAAUAUAAAAAUAAAUCCCUUUUAGGCAAUAGAUCCACAGGGCAAUUAACUGCAAAAGUUACCUAGCUCUAGAGCCCACAUCCCUUAUGGUGUUACCUACACAUGGUGUCUACACUGACCUGACAUUUGCAAACCGAGGCUGUGUACUAUCCCAUCCUAUAAUGUACUCAGUCUACAGUAGGGUGUCGGCUUCCAAGGCCACUUAAAGCUUCUAACACUGUAUGACCCGGUGGCCAUCUCUGAAUUAGAACAUACCCCCAUCGUCUUGAGAAAAUAUUCCACAGAGUAAAGGAAAUUUAUAAAUCUUAGAAAGAAAGAAACUUUAUAAAGUCCGUUCAAUACAGGACUUUAUACAAUUCAUUAAAUGUCUCUCUGUACAUUCACUAAGCCCAUUCACUAAGAUCUUUUAUGCAUUCAAACAAUUAAAUCAGGGACUCUACCUACAUCAAUGGUUAGAUUGUUGAAGCCAAUCAAAGGUUCAAAGAUACUACAAAAGGAAAGGAACUUCAAUUGUCCCUGAGGGAUCAAUUCAAACCUUGAAAUCUUCAUCUAAAAACCUUUCUUAAUGGGUUGCUGACUAAUAUAUGCUUAAAUUCUAAGGAGGACGAUAAUAGAAACAUAAUAGAGCUGUCUGGGUUACUUUUUUAAUGGCAGUACCCGUUGGUUAGUCUACAAUGAGCAGCAGAUAAUCCAAGUAGGAGGAAGAAUCUAACUUUAAAUCCAUAAGUACAAUUGAGCAUGUAGAAACAAAAGAAAAAUGGGUCAGCAGUAAAAACCUUUUUUCAUGAAUCACUUCUGGCUGGAUGCUUUGUCCAUAAUAGGGUAUGCAAUCACGUCAGUUUCCCAGAGUUACUGAGCUGUAUUUCAGGGUUCAUGAGUUUUUUCAUAAACUUUUAUUUAUUUAUUUAUUUAUUUUUUUAAACUUUUAAAUUGAUGAGUAAAGUACCGACAUAAAGGCGUACUGAUCGAUGCAUCUUCAGGUGAGUUUCGGAGAGAACACACCCAUGUGACCAACCACCUCCAAGAACCAUAGAUAGAAUCCGCUCUCCUGUCCCAGUAACUACUCACAGUCCCUCCCCAGGUAAUGCAGUCCUGACUUGUGAUAGGACUAGAUAGUAUAGAUUCAUUUGGCUGUUUUAGAUCUUGAGAAGCAGUGUAUUGCCCUCCGUGUCUGGCUUCUGUUUCUCACCACUUCCUUGGUGAUACACAUCCCUACCGUUGGUGGUAGUAGCAGUUUCUUAGGUACCUGUUCCUGGGUUUCUGCUGGGCAAUUUCUGGAUCACCAUAGCCGAAACACGCACUUUAGUAGGGUCAGCAGGCAGCGUUCCUCCUGGCUUUACCAACUCAUACUCCAAAUCCCUCAGGAAUGAAAAUUCCAGUUGUUCCAUGUGUUCUUCAACACUUGACAGCAGCACGUUUUCUGUUUCACCCAUUCCGGAGAGUACGCAGUGUUACCUGAUUGUGACUUCAAUUUGCAUUUCCCUGAUGAAAAACUAGUUUGAGUGCCUUUUUAUAUAUUUAUUAUCUAUUUGGAUAUUUGUUUUAUGAGAUACCUAUGCAAAGUACUUUGCCCCCUUUUUUCUAUUCUACAUAUUUGAAAAGCUCUAUAUGAACUCUGGAUAAAAGCCUUUUGUAACAUAAAUAAUGUAGGUAUCUUCUCCUACAGUCUGGCCCACCUUUUCACUCUGGUAAUGGUCUAUCUGAAAAACAUUUUAAUGUGGCCCAAUGUAUGAGGCUUUUGCUCUGUGUUUCAUGCCUUCGCACCUGUGUUCAUAAUCCAUGUUGCAUGCUAGAAGCUCUUUUAUUUUACUCUUCACAAUUUGAUCUACAAUCUUGGAAAUUAUUACUGCUUGUUCGGUAAAUUAAAGAUUAAGAUUAAUUUCUCCUUUUCAGCCUCUCUGUUUCUUGUAGUUCUUUCUUCAUUUAAAAAUUCUAUACUUCUUUUUCAGUUUCAUUGCCUCCUUUCUGAGAUUUUCUAAUCCUUUUUUUAUACUGAUUAUUCAUAUCUUACAUUUCCUUAAGUAUUUGAAAUAGGUUUUGAAAUAGGUUUUGAAAUAUGAGGUCAUAGUUUUCCUGUAUUUUACAAGCAUGUCUUUCUGAUAUUCUUUCUUUGAGUGUAAGGAUGUUAUCCUGUUCCUUGCAUUUGUCUCAUAAAAAAACAUUAUAUGGGAUUCAGCUAUCAUCCUUUGCUCUAACUCAUUUUUAUAUGAAACUGGUUUUCAUGGACUUUUAGAAGGGAGUUCAGGAGAACAUUUUUAGCUUCACAUCUACAGUUGUUUUUGUUGGUUUUGCUGCUGCUGCUGCUUUAGUGAAAGAGGUAAACACAUUGGUUUAGUGCUUUCUGCAGUCAACAAGCUCUGUCUCCUUCCACACUUUUAUCUGAACCUCUGAUUUCUUUGCCCAUUGUCCCUCAUAUGGCCUCUCUUCCCAGUAGGUUAUGUCCUCCGUGUGGAGCUCUAUCUCAGAAGGGAUCUUCAGCUGGGUAGUUUUACAGGUGGUGAGGCCUGGAUUGCUCAAGCCCUUAAAAUAUUACAGAAGAUGCCCUGAACUCUCUCAUGAAUUAAAACAGGCCACAGCCACCCCAGUUCCAACUGCUCUUCUCAAAUUGCCCCACUGGGUUUACCCGUGUUCACCAGUUGGCUGCUAUGGGUUCUGCUCUUAGGUCCAUCAGACACCCUCUUCCUUUCCUGUUUCACCCCAAACAAUGCACAGAGGACGUGGAACAGUUGAGGCUUUCUGUACCUGAACACAUCUUGUGAUGCUAAGGGAUGAUUUGUCAGUUAGUUCUGUGGUAUAUAUUGUCUUCCAUUUCUGGUUUCCUGUACAUUUAUACAAAUGGUUUCAGGGAUAUUCAAAACCUAAGCUUGUGCUGCUGUCACAUUUUCACAAAAUUUUUUCAUGAGACUCUUUUUUAAUUUCCUCAAAGUUUUGGAAUUUGCCACAUCCCAAGCGAGGUGGGAAAGAAGAUACUUUCUGUCUGCUGUGAGCCCUUCCCUCUUUAAAAUUUCUAGCCUACUUCCUCUCCACAGGGCCUAGGGAACCUAACUUGGAAAUUUACCAAUUAGAGAUUCUGGAGACUAUGUUUUGAAAAUUGAAAACUCAUUCCAGAGCAGGAUC